RNAcentral lists this long non-coding RNA (754 nucleotides) under Amborella trichopoda. RNAcentral's name for it is "long non-coding RNA (ATRI_LNC000971)". Lineage: Eukaryota; Viridiplantae; Streptophyta; Magnoliopsida; Amborellales; Amborellaceae. The record is from RNAcentral.
CUUGAAAUGGAUCGCUAGGCUAGUCUUAAUCGCAGUUCCAAGGGUGGUUAUCCUAUUUUGGCCAACUUCUGUUCUAGCACCUUCGUGUGAAUCUUAAUGGUGGAUCAAAAGAAUGGAUGACUCACAUCUCUCACCCCUCAAGUCUCCUUUUGACUUAGAUUGACGGUCAAGAUUUGAUCUUACUGAAGAUGACAAACCCUAAGGCAUAAAAAAUAUAUAAAAAGGGACUCUCCCCAAUUACCAAAUUCUCUACACAUCUUCUCUCUCCUCUCUUUAAAAGUUCUCUUUCUCUCCCUAGUUGUUUGAAAAGGGGCACACCACAAAUCUAGCUCUCUCUCUCUCUUUUGGUGGAUUCGAAGGGGGGGGGGCAUGCCUUAAGUAAUAACUCUCUCUUUCUCUCUCAAGUUAGUAAAGGAGAGGGAGCAAACCCAUGCUAGGUGUUGAUAAAUGAGAGGGAGUAAACCGAUUCUAGUUGUUGGUAAAGGAGAGGGAGCAAACCCAUGCUAGGUGGGUUGCAAAUAGGGCCAAACAAAGCUUGUAGAUCUCUCUCUUUGAUUUCUAACUCUCGUCUCUCUAAAGAUCAGCAAAGGGGUUUGAGUAAGAUUAAUGCAUUGAGGCCUUAGGUAGUUAGUUUUAGAUCGAGAUCCAUACACCAUUGAGUGGGUUUUGUCAUAAGUAGGAGAAUCAAGAGACUGAUCAUAUAUCUCGAGCACCAUUGGAAGGAAGAGACUCGACGCGAGGUGUACUAAGCCCG